Alosa alosa (allis shad) is the source of this 1767-nucleotide long non-coding RNA. RefSeq lists it as uncharacterized. Lineage: Eukaryota; Metazoa; Chordata; Actinopteri; Clupeiformes; Clupeidae. The transcript has 2 exons. The record is from RefSeq and is a predicted model, not a curated record.
UUUGAUAGACAUCCGUGGCACCCAAUAAACGGAUCUGACCAUUUUUUUCAAAUAUGAGAAAAUGAACGUUUGGUUCCCAGACCACGUCUCACUGAGAAGUGGUGGCGCUAGCCAGGCUACACCCGUUAGGUGCAGUGAAGUGACUGUGAGCAGGUUUGCUUUAGUCAGCUAGUGUGCUAGCAUCUAGUAGGUUCAAAGGUAUGGGCACAUACAGGUAAGGAAAGGUACAUCUCCUGCUGGUUGACAGUAAUGCCAUGAUAUAGGCUAAACAUUGUGCAGGGCAUUUACUCAAAGUGGUACUGGGAGAAUGUUGUUACAGAAAAACAAAUAAUAAAGGUCACGACAAGUUGAAUAUAUGGACCUCACCUUUACCAGAUGAGGUGAGCCCACGUAUUUUACUGAGAUGUCUACUGACAUUACAUUUGGCGUGGUGCCUGUGAUAGUGUAUAGUCUUCAUAUAGUAAUGUUAUUUUUGUUUAGGAAACCAAAUACAUACAGUAUACUGUAAAUAUGUAUAUUCCAUCCAAAAAACUCUAUUGGUAUAUUUAUCGCAAAAGGGCACUUUUACAAUAAUUGGCAAAUGACAAUGUUAUGACAACUAUUUUUACAAUGUGGGAAAGUAAGCAAAUCUCUGGUGCUUUUUAGUCUAGAUACUUCCAUGUGUUUUUUAUAGCUUACUCUGUACAUUUAAGCAAGGUACGGUGUUUUGCCAAAUGAGGACUAUCCAAAUGGAUGAAUUGAUAUUUCAGCUUAUCGCAAACUGAUAUCUUUUUUGCUUAUCUCUCUGUGUAGGAAGUACACAUCACCACUUUGAGUUGAAAAUAUACAAGAGAUGUAAUGUAAUGUUUUUGGUUGUUUCAGAUUUCAAAUGUUCUACACUGAAUGUGGUUAAAUCAAAGAAUUUACAUUUACCUGCAUUGGUGUGGAGAUCUUUUUUUUUUUUGCCAAGUAGGUUAAAAUCUCUCCCAUUUGUGUUAAUGUGAGCUGCCUUUCCAUUUGAGCCAUAAUAUGCUGUUAGUUGCUUGAAAACAUUUGUUUACUUGGGCUUUGUGCACCUCUCAUCCCUCAAAACACCCAGGCACUCAAGAGACAAAGUAUUUCAGAUGUGUCAGGUAUGUAACUGUCUCCACUACACCAGGACUGAGCCAUAUCACGGGAGAGUUUAUUAUAAAAUGUAGUUUGUAACUACCCAUCGUCGUUAAAGGAGAACAUGUUAAUUUCAGCCUUGCUGGUGGAGCUGUCUGAUGCAUUCACGUGAACUAUAUAAAGUUCUCAAGAGUGGGAUGGUUGUUGUCGGUACUCUCGCCAUUUGUGAGUCAGCUUUGUGAUUUUCUGUGAUUGGUGUGAGAAAAUCCACACUUUCCCUCCAUUUCAACUGCCCUUAAAGGACAUCUUCUGAUCUUGGUGACAGCAAGGGUCACUACUUGUUGGUAUGACGUCAUGGCCACUGGAGGUGGUCCUCUCCCGGGAGGCGUCCAAUGACAGCCGGCCACAUCACUGAUUGACGCAGUAGACGUCGCCGCUGGUGGGAAGGUGUCAUACUGUUGCACAAGUGUGAGAAUCAGAUGCUGAGGUGGCAAUCGGUAUCGAUACAAAACUUGAAGUUCUCAAAUGUAGAUGUACAAAAGGAAGAACUGAAAUUGUGAAAAUUCCUGUCAACCAGUGCUGUAAACAAGCAGUUGGAUCUCUGGAUCUAAACUAGGGUCAUGUGGUGUGAGCUGGAUCCAUAUGCUCCUUUGAUGUAAAUAAAUCAGCUUUUUCUGAGCA